RNAcentral lists this ribosomal RNA (468 nucleotides) under uncultured bacterium. RNAcentral's name for it is "partial 16S ribosomal RNA". It matches the Rfam family "Bacterial small subunit ribosomal RNA", at positions 28 to 507 of the family's 1533-position model. The record is from RNAcentral.
AACGAACGCUGGCGGCGUGCCUAACACAUGCAAGUCGAACGAAACGGCCCGGCUUUUGUGCGGUGCUCGACGUACGAACGGGGGACUAGCCCUUGGGUACCCUAUACCUCACUGUAGGGGAUCUUCAUGAAACUUGGUCUCAUACCGCAUAAGAUCUCCUGCUGCAGGGUGGGCGCUGGUAAGUUUCGGCGGUUGGGGAUGUACUCGCGGCGUAUCAGCUUGUUGGUGGGGUAGUGGCUUACCAAGGCUUUGACGGGUAGCCGGGCUGAGAGGCUGACCCGGGAAAUUGGGACUGAGAUACGGCGCAGAAUGGUACGGGAGGAAGCAGUGGGGAAGAGUGCACAAUGGGCGGAAGCCUGAUGUAGAAACGCCGCGUGCGGGAUGACGGGCUUCGGGUUGUAAACCGCUUUCGACUGUGACGAAGAGUGAGUGACGGUAAUGGGUAAAGAAGCACCGGCUAACUACGUG